GGAGUUAGGAAAUGCAGGUUGGUUAAUACCCAACCUGUUUGACAAAGGCCCCAAAGGAGGCCACGGCUAACUCUGUGCCAGCAGCCGCGGUAAUACAGAGGUGGCAAGCGUUGUUCGGUAUUAUUGGGCGUAAAGAGCACGUAGGUGGUUUUGUAAGUCAGAUGUGAAAGCCUUCUGUUCAAAGGAAGAACGGCAUCUGAAACUGCAGAUCUUGAGUGUAGGAGGGGAGAGUGGAACUUCUG
RNAcentral lists this ribosomal RNA (242 nucleotides) under uncultured Planctomycetales bacterium. RNAcentral describes it as "partial 16S ribosomal RNA". It matches the Rfam family "Bacterial small subunit ribosomal RNA", at positions 439 to 672 of the family's 1533-position model. The record is from RNAcentral. Lineage: Bacteria; Pseudomonadati; Planctomycetota; Planctomycetia; Planctomycetales.